This 253-nucleotide ribosomal RNA is filed under the name bacterium. RNAcentral describes it as "partial 16S ribosomal RNA". It matches the Rfam family "Bacterial small subunit ribosomal RNA", at positions 524 to 776 of the family's 1533-position model. RNAcentral also lists the same sequence under 2 other names. The record is from RNAcentral.
UACAGAGGGUGCAAGCGUUAAUCGGAAUUACUGGGCGUAAAGGGUGCGUAGGUGGACGCAUAAGUCGGAUGUGAAAUCCCUGGGCUUAACCUAGGAACUGCAUUCGAUACUGUGAGUCUAGAGUAUGGUAGAGGUAAGUGGAAUUUCCGGUGUAGCGGUGAAAUGCGUAGAUAUCGGAAGGAACAUCAGUGGCGAAGGCGACUUACUGGACUGAUACUGACACUGAGGCACGAAAGCGUGGGGAGCAAACAGG